AGACACGGCCCGGACUCCUACGGGAGGCAGCAGUGGGGAAUAUUGGACAAUGGGGGAAACCCUGAUCCAGCCAUGCCGCGUGUGUGAAGAAGGCCUUUUGGUUGUAAAGCACUUUAAGCAGUGAAGAAGACUCCGUGGUUAAUACCCACGGACGAUGACAUUAGCUGCAGAAUAAGCACCGGCUAACUCUGUGCCAGCAGCCGCGGUAAUACAGAGGGUGCAAGCGUUAAUCGGAAUUACUGGGCGUAAAGGGAGCGUAGGUGGCUCGAUAAGUCAGAUGUGAAAUCCCCGGGCUCAACCUGGGAACUGCAUCUGAUACUGUUGAGCUAGAGUAUGUGAGAGGAAGGUAGAAUUCCAGGUGUAGCGGUGAAAUGCGUAGAGAUCUGGAGGAAUACCGAUGGCGAAGGCAGCCUUCUGGCAUAAUACUGACACUGAGGCUCGAAAGCGUGGGUAGCAAACAGGAUUAGAUACCCUGGUAGUCCACGCCGUAAACGAUGUCUACUAGUCGUUGGGUCCCUUGAGGACUUAGUGACGCAGCUAACGCAAUAAGUAGACCGCCUGGGGAGUACGGCCGCAAGGUUAAAACUCAAAUGAAUUGACGGGGGCCCGCACAAGCGGUGGAGCAUGUGGUUUAAUUCGAUGCAACGCGAAGAACCUUACCUGGUCUUGACAUAUCUAGAAUCCUGCAGAGAUGCGGGAGUGCCUUCGGGAAUUAGAAUACAGGUGCUGCAUGGCUGUCGUCAGCUCGUGUCGUGAGAUGUUGGGUUAAGUCCCGCAACGAGCGCAACCCUUGUCCUUAGUUACCAGCGGGUUAAGCCGGGAACUCUAAGGAUACUGCCAGUGACAAACUGGAGGAAGGCGGGGACGACGUCAAGUCAUCAUGGCCCUUACGACCAGGGCUACACACGUGCUACAAUGGUAGGUACAGAGGGCAGCUACACAGCGAUGUGAUGCGAAUCUCAAAAAGCCUAUCGUAGUCCAGAUUGGAGUCUGCAACUCGACUCCAUGAAGUAGGAAUCGCUAGUAAUCGCGGAUCAGAAUGCCGCGGUGAAUACGUUCCCGGGCCUUGUACACACCGCCCGUCACACCAUGGGAGUUGAUUGCACCAGAAGUGGAUAGCUUAACCUUCGGGGGAGCGUUCACCACGGUGUGGUUGAUGACUGGGGUGAAGUCGUAACAAGGUAACCGUAA
RNAcentral lists this ribosomal RNA (1191 nucleotides) under uncultured bacterium. RNAcentral's name for it is "bacterial SSU rRNA". It matches the Rfam family "Bacterial small subunit ribosomal RNA", at positions 322 to 1505 of the family's 1533-position model. The record is from RNAcentral.